CCCAAUCUAACUUUCCCGUAUUUGGUAUACGCACUUGGAAAUAGGCAUAGAGAGAGAACCCAGACAAAAAAACAAGCAUCCAUAAAAUGAUGGGUGCGGUGUGUAUAAAGCCGAGGCACUAAACAAUCAAAGUAGAGCGCACCUUCAAAUAGCGUAAAAAAUGUGGUUUCAAUAUUGAAAAUCUUUGUGAUAGCCUUAAAAUAUAUUUUCAUCUUUAAUUAUAAAAUUUAAAGCUUUAAAAAUAGUACAGAUCAACCAGAUCUAUGAAAACUUGUAAAUCUUGAAAAUUGACCGUCCAAAAAGACAUUUUAAGAUGCACUAUUUCCAAAACUUGAAAUCCAUUUUUUUCUCAUAUCCGUGCAUCUUGAUGUCAAGAUGAUUAAUUUAAAGAUAUUUGGGCAUCAAAACAACCUCUUCUAGUGAAACUUUUUUACGCUAAUUGGAUUCUUUUUCCUAAAAAGAUUGCAUGGAAACUAAAAAAUAUUGGAAUUUAAGAUAGUUUCUUUCUCGAAAAGCUUUAAGAUAGUUUCUCUCUCUAAAAAUUUUAAGAUAGUUUCUCUAUCUAAAAUUUUGAGAUAGUUUCCCUUUAAAAUUUGAAAUUUGAUAUAGUUUUUCCCUCUAAAAAUUUGGAAAUAGAUUCUCUCUAAAACUUAAAACUGGAAUAGUUUCUCUCUCUAAAACUUAAACUUUGAGAUAGUUUAUCUUUCUAAAAAUAUUAAGAUUAAUU
Molecule: long non-coding RNA, 727 nt
Filed under: Amborella trichopoda
Lineage: Eukaryota; Viridiplantae; Streptophyta; Magnoliopsida; Amborellales; Amborellaceae
Description: long non-coding RNA (ATRI_LNC004699)
Source: RNAcentral